Molecule: long non-coding RNA, 926 nt
Organism: Pogoniulus pusillus (Red-fronted tinkerbird)
Lineage: Eukaryota; Metazoa; Chordata; Aves; Piciformes; Lybiidae
Exons: 4
Source: RefSeq, a predicted model, not a curated record
UCUCUGCACCCAUUGCUUCUGUUUGGCUCAGCUCUGCUAAGUCAUUUCUUAGGAUGCUUUAGUUUUAGAGGAACUUAUGUGUUGUGUUGCAUGUAAAACUAGGGCUCAUGAGUCAAAGAGCAUUCUGUAGUGUUCUGCCUUAUAAACAAAGAUUAAGGAAUAUGCAUUUCUUAUAUAGCUGCCCUAUGACUUUUGAAGAGCCAGCCAAAACAGCUGGUCACAAAUAAUGGGGCUGAGAAAGAAAGAGGAGGCCUCUGACAUGUAUGAAUUGGUUUAUGCAAAUCUUCUGGUACAUCUCAAACAUUUAAGCAUUUAAAAUACAAUUUAACUCCCAAACCUCUCUCAUAUUCUAUUUAUUCUUUUGUACAGGAUCACAGAAUCUUAGGGACUGGAAGGGAGCUUGAAAGAUCAUCCAGUCCAACCCCCCUGCCAGAGCAGGAUCACCUAGACCAGAGAAAGGUUCCAGAAGAUCCCCUGAAGCUGUGCAUCCAUGCUCAGACCUGGAGCCUUUUGUCUCUGGCAAGAAGGUGCAGUUCUGUCCCCUGGAUGGUGGGAAUCUCAGAAGGUGCUCCUGGGAGUUGCUGAAGUUUUUGCCGAUGUCGAAUAUGCAGAAGGUUUCCCUCUGGCAGGCAGUGACCCAGUUCUGAUAUUCGGAGGUGUCGGGAAUCCGGUCCAGGAAAAUGCGGAAGGCUUCCCACACGGCUUCCUGGCAGACUGAAUACCCAGGGAGAUGGAGGAGUCACUAUCCCUGGAGGUAUUCAAGAAAAGACUGAGUUAGAAGAGGAGCACAGAGUUAAAAGAAAGCACCAACUUCAUUAUGCUGUAAGAAGAGACUGAACAGAGCCCAUGCCAGCAGUCAGAACAUGGCUAAAAGGUCCUUCAGUCACAUGGCUGACAGGAGAUUCAGUUCUAAACAUGGAUAUCUG